Molecule: ribosomal RNA, 372 nt
Filed under: uncultured organism
Description: partial 16S ribosomal RNA
Rfam family: Bacterial small subunit ribosomal RNA
Source: RNAcentral
GUAGGUGGCAAGCGUUGUCCGGAAUUAUUGGGCGUAAAGCGCGCGCAGGCGGUCCUUUAAGUCUGAUGUGAAAGCCCACGGCUCAACCGUGGAGGGUCAUUGGAAACUGGGGGACUUGAGUACAGAAGAGGAAAGCGGAAUUCCACGUGUAGCGGUGAAAUGCGUAGAGAUGUGGAGGAACACCAGUGGCGAAGGCGGCUUUCUGGUCUGUAACUGACGCUGAGGCGCGAAAGCGUAGGGAGCAAACAGGGAUUAGAUACCCUGGUAGUCCACGCCGUAAACGAUGAGUGCUAAGUGUUAGGGGGUUUCCCGCCCCUUAGUGCUGCAGCUAACGCAUUAAGCACUCCGCCUGGGGAUACGGCCGCAAGGCUG